RNAcentral lists this ribosomal RNA (440 nucleotides) under uncultured bacterium. RNAcentral's name for it is "partial 16S ribosomal RNA". It matches the Rfam family "Bacterial small subunit ribosomal RNA", at positions 338 to 795 of the family's 1533-position model. The record is from RNAcentral.
CCUACGGGUGGCUGCAGUGGGGGAUAUUGCACAAUGGGGGAAACCCUGAUGCAGCGACGCCGCGUGUGGGAAGACGGUCUUCUGGAUUGUAAACCACUGUCCCCAGGGACGAAAAUGACGGUACCUGGGGAGGAAGCUCCGGCUAACUACGUGCCAGCAGCCGCGGUAAUACGUAGGGAGCAAGCGUUGUCCGGAAUUACUGGGUGUAAAGGGAGCGUAGGCGGGGAUGCAAGUUGGGUGUAAAAACUACCGGCUCAACCGAUAGUCGCACUCAAAACUGCAGCUCUUGAGUGAAGUAGGGGCUGGCGGAAUUCCUAGUGUAGCGGUGAAAUGCGUAGAUAUUAGGAGGAACACCAGUGGCGAAGGCGGCCGGCUGGGCUUUUACUGACGCUGAGGCUCGAAAGUGUGGGGAGCAAACAGGAUUAGAUACCCGGGUAGUC